CUGGUGUUUCUUUAUGCAGCAACUGUAGAUGCAUGGUUCUUGCAAAACGGUAUCCAAUUAGAGGGUACUUUUAUGUGUGUGCUAAAGUAUUUAUCAACGACUACUUUGCUCAGGAGAUUAGGGCAAAUCCAGACAGAACCUUUGACUUGGUGUUGAAAGUGAAAUGUCAUGCCUCUGAAAAUGAAGAGGACAGUCCAGCUUAUCUGCCGAGGAUUCCCCCUGGAAAAGUACGCCGAUUCGCAUUUUGCAUUAAGAAACUGGAAAACUUUCCUGUCGGUCCUGGCGUAGCGCCUCCCGUGUCCGGGGUAGACCUUGUACCGGCUGAAACCGCAUAGCUCGACCUUCAUGGCGGCAGCUCCACGGGAGGAGAAAAGAUGGCCCCAACCUGUAUUUUCGAGUAAUACCCUUUAGAAUUCAUAAAAGUCUAAGAACACUUUGUAAAUGGAAUGUUUCAUAGUUCACACUAAAGUAAACAUAAACUGUUAAGCAAAACUUUAGAUCACUUCUUCUAACAAAGGAAAUGUACCCGAGAACCCAUGAGAAGUAGCUUCAGAGUAUUUUUUUUUAACAGUGAAUUCUCUGAGGUCUUGGACUUUUAAAUUUUAUUUAGUUUAAUUGCCAAAAGCCAAGGUGGAGCUGUGUAGCAUUCUGAGGAAAUAAAACCACUUGAAGCAGAGGUAUAGUAGAAUAAAGCCAUUCUGCCUCCAGUAUUUGGGUGGAUGUAUUUGGUACU
This 733-nucleotide long non-coding RNA is filed under the name Homo sapiens (human). RNAcentral describes it as "non-protein coding lnc-DENND1B-6:2". The record is from RNAcentral. Lineage: Eukaryota; Metazoa; Chordata; Mammalia; Primates; Hominidae.